Molecule: ribosomal RNA, 253 nt
Filed under: uncultured prokaryote
Description: partial 16S ribosomal RNA
Rfam family: Bacterial small subunit ribosomal RNA
Source: RNAcentral
ACAGAGGGGGCAAGCGUUGUUCGGAAUUACUGGGCGUAAAGGGCGCGUAGGCGGCCUGCUAAGUCGAACGUGAAAUCCCCGGGCUCAACCCGGGAACUGCGUUCGAUACUGGUUGGCUUGAAUCCGGGAGAGGGAUGUGGAAUUCCAGGUGUAGCGGUGAAAUGCGUAGAGAUUGGAAGGAACAUCAGUGGCGAAGGCGGCCACCUGGACUGAUACUGACGCUGAGGUGCGAAAGCGUGGGGAGCAAACAGGA